UACAGAGGUCUCAAGCGUUGUUCGGAUUCAUUGGGCGUAAAGGGUGCGUAGGUGGCGCGGUAAGUCGGGUGUGAAAUCUCGGAGCUUAACUCCGAAAUUGCAUUCGAUACUGCCGUGCUUGAGGACUGGAGAGGAGACUGGAAUUCAUGGUGUAGCAGUGAAAUGCGUAGAGAUCAUGAGGAAGGCCAGUGGCGAAGGCGGGUCUCUGGACAGUUCCUGACACUGAGGCACGAAGGCCAGGGGAGCAAACGGG
This 253-nucleotide ribosomal RNA is filed under the name uncultured bacterium. RNAcentral describes it as "partial 16S ribosomal RNA". It matches the Rfam family "Bacterial small subunit ribosomal RNA", at positions 524 to 776 of the family's 1533-position model. The record is from RNAcentral.